Molecule: long non-coding RNA, 640 nt
Organism: Homo sapiens (human)
Lineage: Eukaryota; Metazoa; Chordata; Mammalia; Primates; Hominidae
Gene: SELENOO-AS1
Product: SELENOO antisense RNA 1
Source: Ensembl
ACGCAUGUCUAUGCCGGAGCACCAGGCUGCCCCAGCGGCUCCUCCCGGCCUUCUGCAGCCCCAUCGCCCACCCACAUGGAACAUGGCUGGGGUGGACUGCAGGGAUGGAGCUGGGGCAGGACACAGCCCUAGGAGCACCUGCCUGGCGCCAGCUUCUGCUGACGGCAGCCCAACAGCCCCCAGCCACGUGGCAAAGCGGGUCCCCACGCAGCCCUGGCUGCAGCUGCUCCAGGGGUGGCCUGAGACUUCUCAAAGAAGAUGCUGUGCCCGGUCCCCCGGAACCCCUACUUGGCCUGACCCCGCUGAUGCUGCAGGCCCCCAGCCCAGCCAGGUGGGGACACCCAGCAUCCACCCGCAGGGAGGGGUGGCGUGCGGCCCACUGACCUCCCGGAAGAAGGCAGCAUUUCUCUGCACGCUGUCGCUGGCAUGAGCAGCCUGGAUCUCGGGGUAAAAGGAGCUGAUGACAUAGUCGAGCAGCUGCACUCGAAUGUCGUUCCUCCCCACGCUGGGGCCUGCACGCCCUGUGUGCUCAUCUGCAGACUUAAAAAUCUCAAAGGAUCCAAACCUGGAGGGAAGACCCGAGGCGUCAACAGCCCAAACCUGACCCCAGCCCCUUGUGAAAAUAAGAAAAAGGAAAAGA